ACGAACGCUGGCGGCAUGCCUAACACAUGCAAGUCGCACGCGACCUUCGGGUCUAGUGGCGCACGGGUGCGUAACGCGUGGGAACCUGCCCUUAGGUUCGGAAUAACUCCCCGAAAGGGGUGCUAAUACCGGAUAAUGUCUUCGGACCAAAGAUUUAUCGCCUUUGGAUGGGCCCGCGUUGGAUUAGCUAGUUGGUAGGGUAAAAGCCUACCAAGGCGACGAUCCAUAGCUGGUCUGAGAGGAUGAUCAGCCACACUGGGACUGAGACACGGCCCAGACUCCUACGGGAGGCAGCAGUGGGGAAUAUUGGACAAUGGGCGAAAGCCUGAUCCAGCAAUGCCGCGUGAGUGAUGAAGGCCUUAGGGUUGUAAAGCUCUUUUACCCGGGAUGAUAAUGACAGUACCGGGAGAAUAAGCUCCGGCUAACUCCGUG
Molecule: ribosomal RNA, 432 nt
Filed under: uncultured bacterium
Lineage: Bacteria
Description: partial 16S ribosomal RNA
Rfam family: Bacterial small subunit ribosomal RNA
Source: RNAcentral